RNAcentral lists this small RNA (135 nucleotides) under Bacillus sp. (in: firmicutes). Its description in RNAcentral is "Bacillus sp. (in: Bacteria) 6S RNA". It matches the Rfam family "6S / SsrS RNA", at positions 32 to 165 of the family's 187-position model. From Rfam's summary of the family: E. coli 6S RNA was the first non coding RNA to be sequenced, but its function was unknown until recently. It consists of 184 nucleotides that fold into an extended hairpin structure with a large single-stranded internal bulge. The 6S RNA specifically associates with RNA polymerase holoenzyme containing the sigma70 specificity factor. Lineage: Bacteria; Bacillati; Bacillota; Bacilli; Caryophanales; Bacillaceae. The record is from RNAcentral.
UGUCUAAAACCGAUGUUAGUUAUACGGAAGCUCAAUAUUUAGCGACCAUCAUCAAGCCUUCUUUGUGGAGGAAGAUGUACGGUAACUGUGAGGGCAUCCACCUGCGAGUAGCGGGUUUUUGGACAUUUACGAGGA